AGUGAACGCUGGCGGUAGGCCUAACACAUGCAAGUCGAACGGCAGCACAGUAAGAGCUUGCUCUUACGGGUGGCGAGUGGCGGACGGGUGAGGAAUACAUCGGAAUCUACUUUUUCGUGGGGGAUAACGUAGGGAAACUUACGCUAAUACCGCAUACGACCUACGGGUGAAAGCAGGGGAUCUUCGGACCUUGCGCGAUUGAAUGAGCCGAUGUCGGAUUAGCUAGUUGGCGGGGUAAAGGCCCACCAAGGCGACGAUCCGUAGCUGGUCUGAGAGGAUGAUCAGCCACACUGAAACUGAGACACGGUCCAGACUCCUACGGGAGGCAGCAGUGGGGAAUAUUGGACAAUGGGCGCAAGCCUGAUCCAGCCAUACGGCGUGGGUGAAGAAGGCCUUCGGGUUGUAAAGCCCUUUUGUUGGGAAAGAAAAGCAGCAGGUUAAUACCCCGCUGUUCUGACGGUACCAAAGAAUAAGCACCGGCUAACUUCGUG
This 491-nucleotide ribosomal RNA is filed under the name uncultured bacterium. RNAcentral's name for it is "partial 16S ribosomal RNA". It matches the Rfam family "Bacterial small subunit ribosomal RNA", at positions 29 to 507 of the family's 1533-position model. The record is from RNAcentral.